UCAAGAGUGAGCCGCUCAUUCCAACUAAUUUAUCUCAUCUUUUUCCUCCUUGCCGUAUGGUUUUUGCAGAUUCGAUUUUCACAUCGAUGUCUUUACUUCCUGGGGUUCUGUCUUCAGAUCCGCUCGCAUCGGCCCAACGGCUCUUUGUAUCUGCUCUUUUACUAUGAAAGGAGUGACUUGUUGGAUCUAUGCCUUUAAAAGCCUUUGCCGGCAGGGAAGCGAAGAUUAAAUUGAAGGGCUCCAGCGCUUCUGGCGGCCUUUGCACGAUGUACGGCGGUGAUUAACAAGGCAUCCGAUGUUUUGCGACGGCGUUGUGGGAUUGACUGGUUUGCUUUUGAAAGGAUGUGUAAGAUGUCGGGGAAAAAGGUCCUACUGAUGAUAUUUCUUUGUUAGGGGACUGAGUCAUGAUCUAUCUUUGUCGUCCAAGACCUUUGCCAUGGCAGGUGCGCUUGCAUGGCAGGUCACCUGACCUUAAUAAAAUUUAUCUGUUUGGGUGUUUUUAAGGGGAGAUCGCACGGGAGUUGCCCGGGUUCUCCCCUCUGCUGCGGUGUCGUCUCGCGUCUCCUGCUCUUUAUUCUUUUUCUCUAUCUCUUGCUCGCCAUCCAUUUUUUUGCAUCAUACGGGAUGGACGCUUGAUCCAAUACCAUUAUCAACGUCGGAAUAAGCUCAUGAACUCCCAAUUCACACCAUUAUCUCAUCUCACGGACAAGGUAUUAUUUUACAUAUUUUAACCCCACUCCGCCUUAUCAAAUAAUACUUCAAAAUUUAAUUUUAUUCUCCUAUUAGAUUACAUCAACUUUGACAUGAAACGGAACAAAUAGUUUUUAGCACAUUUAGAAUGGUAAAAGGGUACAUGGUAAUUAAUAUUCAAGAACAUGGUUUUUAAAUAUUCAUCACCCUUCCUGGGGGAAAAGAAGUAGUUAAAUUUUUAACUUCAAUCUUUGUUUUUAGAGUUACGCGGCACUAAAUUAUUGUUUUUUUAAUAAUUUUUAUUCGUAGAGAAUUUUAAUUUUAUAUCAGCUCUACUUUUAGAUUAUUUGAUUUUGGUAAUGAUUUUCCCAAUCCUAGCAUGUAUAAUUCAGUAGUAAACUAAAUUGAAAUAUUUUUUAUUUUAAUAUAUUUUCUGUUAUUAAACCUUCUUAACAUGAAAAUCCAAUUUAAAGCAGUGGUACAGUAUUUAUUGAAAUAAUUGUAUGAAAGACUGUUAAACCCGUGGAAGGUAAGUGUAUAUAUUGAUCUUUAACUCUAAAAUCAAUUAUUCUAUUUUAUAAAGUUCAAAAUCGUUGCAUAAGUUCAAGGAGGAUACAUUGGUUAUGCUCUCCGUUUUCAUCUAUGAGAAGUUACUCUCAACUUAUUGAAGCAUUUAAGGUUCGAGCUACCAAUUUCGCAGUUUAUUUGAUUUUCAUUUUUUUGUCUGAAUUCUCUUGAAUUCCAUUCUCUUUCUUUUCAUUUGUUAUUUACCUCCACUUUUAUUAUCAAAGUCCAUUGCCGAGUAUAUCAGAAAUGUUUUGCUAGUGCAUAAUGGCACUGUAUACUACCUUAGUAGUUUGGAAUGUUGGAUGCAGCAUAUGUAUUUUGCUUGUAUAUAGCUCUUUGUACUUGUUUAGGCCCUUGUACGGAUUUCUGUUUGCUUCGGAUUGAAAGUUGCAUGUGUCUUCACUGCCUAUACAAGAUACCGAUGGAAAGAUGUCACAGCAGCAGGUGUAAUGAUGUUGGGAGGUAUCUGUAUUUACACUAUUCCAUCAUGUUACUUGAUAAUCUUUUAUAUAGAAAUUGGAAAUCUAGACAUGUGGGAUCAUGAAGUGUUUGUCGGUAUGAACUUGGUCACUGCAGUGAGCAUAAGGAAGUUGGGGAGGUAUUUCUGUAUAUUCACAAUUCCAUCAUGUUACAUGUCUAAUCUUCUAUGUAGAAACUGGAAAUCGAGGCACGUGGGAUGAAGUGUUUGUCGGUAUAAGCUUUGUCACGGCUGUAAGGAGGUUGGUAGAUAUUUCUGUAUAUCAUGUUACAUAUCGUUUAAUUUUUUUAUAGAAACCGGAAAUCGAGGCAUGUGGGAUGAAGUGUUUGUCUGUAUAAACUUGGUAACGGCAGUGAACUUAAGGAUGUUGGAGGUAUUUCUGGAUUUGUACUUUUCCAUCAUGUUCCAUAUCGUUUAAUUUUUGAUAGAAACUGGAAAUCAAGCCGAUGUUGGAUGAAGGGUACCUCUGCAAAACUUGGUCGUGGCAGUGAGUGUAAUAAUGCUGGGAGGUAUUUUUGGCUUUACAAUAUUCAGUUACACCGCGUCUAUAUGAUAAUCAAGGUAUGUGGGAUAAAGUGUCCUUCCAUUAAUUGCGGUGAAGUGUGUGUGUGUAUAUCUUGGUCGACAUUCAGGGUUUGUGUUGGAAGUCAUUUGAAGCACUAUGGAGACUUGGAUAUCGAUCUGUGUAGGCUUUCAAUGCCUAGUCGCAGGUAAAUUCUACCGAGGCUUUUUCAAACAGAUGCAAUUGUUGAAGCUUUGAAGUCAUUAUGCAGUGAUGUAGUGAAUAGUUUUUGAGGAGCUUUUGUUGUGGAAGAUUGAUCAAAUACUCAAAGAGGUACAUGUAGACCGUGUAAUCCAGUUCUUUACAUAGUGAAGAUUGUUUCAGUGGACUUCGGUCCCGUGGUUUUUCCCCUUAUUAAGGGGUUUUCCACGUUAAUUAUGGUGUUCCUUUUUUUUAUAAUGUUGCUCGAUUAUGUU
Molecule: long non-coding RNA, 2713 nt
Organism: Hibiscus syriacus
Lineage: Eukaryota; Viridiplantae; Streptophyta; Magnoliopsida; Malvales; Malvaceae
Exons: 2
Source: RefSeq, a predicted model, not a curated record